AGCAGCAGUUAGCUCAGUUGGUUAGAACGUGGUGCUGAUUACGCCAAGGUCAUGGGUUUGAUCUCCAUAUGGGUAAUAUGCUGUCU
Non-coding RNA from Podarcis lilfordi (Lilford's wall lizard), 86 nucleotides. Lineage: Eukaryota; Metazoa; Chordata; Lepidosauria; Squamata; Lacertidae. The record is from the annotation of a GenBank genome assembly.